RNAcentral lists this ribosomal RNA (1000 nucleotides) under uncultured organism. RNAcentral's name for it is "bacterial SSU rRNA". It matches the Rfam family "Bacterial small subunit ribosomal RNA", at positions 356 to 1376 of the family's 1533-position model. The record is from RNAcentral.
GGGGGAUAUUGCGCAAUGGGGGCAACCCUGACGCAGCAACGCCGCGUGAAGGAUGAAGGUUUUCGGAUUGUAAACUUCUUUUAUUAAGGACGAAACUUGACGGUACUUAAUGAAUAAGCUCCGGCUAACUACGUGCCAGCAGCCGCGGUAAUACGUAGGGAGCAAGCGUUGUCCGGAUUUACUGGGUGUAAAGGGUGCGUAGGCGGCUUUGCAAGUCAGAUGUGAAAUCUAUGGGCUCAACCCAUAAACUGCAUUUGAAACUGUAGAGCUUGAGUGAAGUAGAGGCAGGCGGAAUUCCCCGUGUAGCGGUGAAAUGCGUAGAGAUGGGGAGGAACACCAGUGGCGAAGGCGGCCUGCUGGGCUUUAACUGACGCUGAGGCACGAAAGCGUGGGUAGCAAACAGGAUUAGAUACCCUGGUAGUCCACGCUGUAAACGAUGAUUACUAGGUGUGGGGGGUCUGACCCCUUCCGUGCCGGAGUUAACACAAUAAGUAAUCCACCUGGGGAGUACGGCCGCAAGGUUGAGACUCAAAGGAAUUGACGGGGGCCCGCACAAGCAGUGGAGUAUGUGGUUUAAUUCGAAGCAACGCGAAGAACCUUACCAGGUCUUGACAUCCAACUAACGAAGUAGAGAUACAUUAGGUGCCCUUCGGGGAAAGUUGAGACAGGUGGUGCAUGGUUGUCGUCAGCUCGUGUCGUGAGAUGUUGGGUUAAGUCCCGCAACGAGCGCAACCCUUGCUAUUAGUUGCUACGCAAGAGCACUCUAAUAGGACUGCCGUUGACAAAACGGAGGAAGGUGGGGACGACGUCAAAUCAUCAUGCCCCUUAUGACCUGGGCUACACACGUACUACAAUGGAUGUUAACAGAGGGAAGCAAGACAGCGAUGUGGAGCAAACCCCUAAAAACAUUCUCAGUUCAGAUUGCAGGCUGCAACCCGCCUGCAUGAAGAUGGAAUUGCUAGUAAUCGCGGAUCAGCAUGCCGCGGUGAAUACGUUCCCG